RNAcentral lists this long non-coding RNA (5515 nucleotides) under Pan paniscus (pygmy chimpanzee). Its description in RNAcentral is "lncRNA (ENSPPAG00000044569.1)". Lineage: Eukaryota; Metazoa; Chordata; Mammalia; Primates; Hominidae. The record is from RNAcentral.
AAGGCCCCCUGGUAAGGCCAGCCAGCCGGAGGACCACCCCGCAGACCACACGCCCAGGGCCUGGCACCAAGGGGGAGGCCCCGAUCAGCAGGUGAAAGCGACACCCUGAUGACACUGGCUAGUUCACCUUCACUCUGGUCAUCGUUUACUGUACCCCGGGGCAGCUGCUGCCUGAGCCCUAUGACCCCAACCGCUGCAGCCUCUGGCUGUCUCACUGGCCCAUCAUUAAUACGUCAAUGGUGAGCGCACUGGUGUACAGCGAGGGGGCUCCACUUCCGAGACCCCCGGAGAGGCCCGUCCUGGUGGAGUUCACCCUGCUGGAGAUGGAGAAGCGAACCAAGCCUGUCUGUGUGUUCUGGAACCAUUCCCUGGCACCAAGAGCAGUGAUGACCUUCUAGCUGGAAUGGCCAGAGGGGUAACGGUGACUAAUGGUGCUAAAGGGAAGAAAAGCUCCUGCCCAUCUGCAGCACCUUCGGCAUCUGCCCCUGCCAUGACCACCGUGGAGAACAAAUCCAAGAUUAGCACAGAAGUCCCUGUUGCGAGUGAGGACAAAGUGUGGGAAGGCCGUGAGGGUCUGCAGUCCCAGAUGGCCUUGGCCUCACCCCGCAGUGCGCUUUUGCACCAGAGUGCCACCUUCUUCUCCAGGUCCAGGUCUUCAGCAGUGACCCCGGACCCCAGCUGUAAGGGAGGUGGCAGCAUCAGAGGCUCCCCUUGCCUGAGUGGCAGCAGAGGAAACUUGCGUCUAUGGGGCCUAGAGGCCUGGGAUGUGGGGGAGCCAUUCCUGGGGGCAAGUGUCUGCCCUGGUGCUGCAUCUGCUGCCUUUUCACACUGGGUGAGACCCCAAGAGACAGCCUGAGGCCGGUCCUCACUCACUGUCUUUGAGGACCUGAGGGGCAGCUGACAGUGGGAUGAGGCUGGCCCCCUCCUCUUUGGUGACAGGAAGCCUCCCAUGGAACUGUAGGAGCUCACGAUGGCAUUUUGUUUGGUGCACGAGCUCAUCCAGGAGGUCUGGGAUCUCUGGUUAUAUCCGACUUCUGACCUCUGGGCAUGGAGGUCUCUCUGCAGAGGCCCAGGCCUGGGCAUGAAGGGAGAGAGGCCUCCAUUGUCCCACGGGGGCCUAAAUGCAGACUGUGCAUCCCCGGUGCCCUCAGGAACCCUUCUCUGAUCAUCAGGAUUCUCUUGGACUCUGGGGUCCUUGUCCUGCUCAGGCAUCCCUGCCCCCCUCUUCAGGAGGGCCCUCAACACGAUCUUCUCUGGACAGGAGUCUGGGGCACAACUGGAUGUUGUGGGCCCCAAAGGGGUGACUCCCUGCUCCUGGGCCCCACAGAGAGUCCUUGUGCUCAGUGCGCUGGCUUAGCUGCAAGACAUCCUGGAAUUGGGAGCACAUAGCACCGGCUUGCUGUGGUACCUGUGCAUUCAAAUUGAAGGCAGGAUCGCCAGCAAGGAACACAGGCCUUGCAGGAUCACGGAAAACCCUUGGAGUUGUUUUGACACACCACUGAUGCCAAGUGUCUGGGUACUUGUAGGAUGGCCCUGCCAUUCCAUCCAGGGGCAGUGGCAACAGGGAGAUUCCACAAACAAAGUGAACUGGGGGAUGGGAUGAGCAGGCUCCAGGCAACUGAGCCCUACUGGCAGGCCCUUGGCCCCCGGGGCCGGGACAGGGGUGACAGACACAGAGUGCCCAGGUAACCACUCCUGGGAGCAGUGGGGAACCGUCGGAUGCUUCAACUCUUGAGAGCUGGGCUCUAAGCAUCCGCCUUAGCUGCCAACUUGGCCAAAGGCUAUGUGAGCAGUUUCCCCUGUUGACGGGCAAUGCAUCUUUCCAACCUGAGCGAGUGGGUGUGCGUGCAAAGAUGGUGCGAGUCACGGAUCUGCGCGGGAAGGGUGACCUUAAGGGAUUAGCAUGGCCAGGUAUGCACACAAGGCACCUGCUGGCAAUGCCUUGGUGGGGAGCGGGCAGUGCACACAAGAGGUACUGGAGGGAGAGGCGCGCGGGAAGAACAGGCGCGCACAAUGGCUGCAGAUCCACCUGUGGAUCGCUGAAGAUUCCUGCUGAGGGUUGAGGCUGCUGGGCUGGAGGACUGUAUGGUCCAUGCAUUGUAAUGACCCCUUCUCUCCCUGGCCCGGAGCCCCAGGAGCUAUCCGGACUCUCUCCAAGACCUGGUUCUGGCCCAGCAAAGAGGUCUCGGCAGGGGAGCAGGAUUCCCGGCCCAGCAGCUGGCUCAGGAGGUGACAGCUUUGGGAUUCGCAUCUGAGCAUCCUCCUGCUCUUCUCCUGGGAACUCUGUUGGGGAGGGUUGCUCAGAACAGAAGUGCCUGGGACGCCCAGGCAGCUGCGGUGAUGGCCAGGGCAGGCUGGGAGGGACAUACUUUCCAUAGGACCCAGUGCUUUCAUCUCCGUGCAACUGACCAAGAGAAACCAAACCCAAACUCCUUCCUUUACACAGACCUAUUUGAGGGAGGCUGGGUAUUGUUUAUGUAUUUCAACCUAACAAGAUUUUGAGAUAGUUGGAAUGCAGAAGGAGACAGGAGGACUCAAGUGUCCUGUCUUUUGCAAAAAUGUCAAACGUAGCUACUCAGUCUCUUUUUUGUUUUUUGUUUGUUUUGAAGACUAUGGUUAUUUUGCAAAAUAUAUAUUAUUUGAGUUUCUCUAUGUGCUAUUUUUAGAUAAAUUAAUAUACUUUUUUCAUCAGCACAUGAAACGUUCUUCAAAACAGAUCCUCUGUUAGUCCACAAAAGCUGUCCCUACACAUUUUAGGAAAUCAUAAUCAUAAUCAUUCCAAUGAUCAGACAACAGAGGAAUAAACCUAGAAAUGGACAUCAAGGCAAACUACAGAACCUAUACACAUACAUGAAAAUUAAACCCCACCCUCCUGAAUGAGCACUGAUUCAAUGAAGAAAUUAAAAUGAAAAUCCGAAAAUGUUUUCAAACAAAUGAAAAUGGAAACACCAUAUAACAAAAGCCUUUGGAUUCAGCAAAAUCAGUGCUGUGAGGGAAGUUUGUAGCAAUAAAUACCUACAUCCAAAAAGUAGAAAGAUGAAAAAUUAAUAAACUGAUGAUGCACCUUAAAGAACUAGGAAAGCAAGAACAAAGCAAAACCAAAAUUAGCCCAUGAAAAAAUAAUAAAGAUCAGAGGAGAACUAAAUAAAAUAGGGUCUCAAAAACAACACAAAUCAAGAAAAGGAAUUACUGGUUCUUAGCAAGAAAAACACACUUUGGGUAUUUUCUUUUCUUUUUUUUUUUUUUUGUAGAAAGCGUUUUGCUCUUGUUGCCCAGGCUGGAGUGCAGUGGCAAGAUCUCCACUCAAUGCACGCUCCACCUUCCAGGUUCAAGUGAUUCUCCUUCCUCAGUCUCCUGAGUAGCUGGGAUUACAGGUGCUCACCACCAUGCCCAGCUAAUUUUUGUAUUUUUAGUAGAGACGGGGUUUCACUAUGUUGGUCAGGCUAGUCUCAAACUCCUGACCUCGUGAUCUGCCCGUGUCGGUCUCCCAAAGUGCUGGGAUUAUAGGUGUGAGCCACCAUGCCUGGCCUCAAAAUAUUCUUUUGAGGGACUCUUGCAUACAAGCCCCAAGAGGCAGGUGCAAAAAUGUCCAUAGAAACACAGUAAUAGAAAAAAAGAAAAUCCAGACUGAUUCAAAUGUCCAUUAACAGGAGAAUGAAUAAAUUAGUUGGAAUCUUCUUUUCUUUUCUUUUCUUUUUUUUUUGAGACGGAGUUUCGCUCUUGUUGCCCAGGCUGGAGUGCAAUGGCACAAUCUCAGUUUGUAGCAACCUCCGCCUCCGGGGUUCAAGCCAUUCUCCUGCCUCAGCUUCCUGAGCAGCAGGGAUUACAGGCAUGCGCCACCACACCUGGCUAAUUUUGUAUUUUUAGUAGAGACGGGGUUUCUCCCUGUUUGUCAGGCUGGUCUCAAACUCCGGACCUCAGGUGAUCCGCCCGCCUCGGCCUCCCAAAGUGCUGGGAUUACAGGCGUGAGCCACCGCUCCUGGCCAUUAGUUGGAGUCUUCUUAUACAGUGGUGAGACUGAAUCAGCUACAGUUGCACAACAGAAUGGAUGAAGCUUAGAAGUAAUGUUGGGUUUAAACGGCCAAUCCCAGGCUGUUACAUUUACCAUUUGCAAUAACAAUAGGAACUAAGGUAACUGAAGAAUCUAACAAAAACUAUGCAAGACCUGUAUUGAAAAAUUAUAAAACUUGAUUGAAAGACAUUUAAAAAAUCUAAAUAAGAGAGAUCAUACAUAAUCUACUCUUUGUGGAUUGGGAGAUUCAGUAUUAUAAAGCUGUCGAUUCUCCCCAAAUUGUUCUACAGAUUUAAUGCAAAUCCAGUAAAAAAUUCAACAAGAGGCCGGGCACGGUGGCUCAAGCCUGUAAUCCCAGCACUUUGGGAGGCUGAGGCAGGCAGAUCACAAGGUCAGGAGAUCGAGACCAUCCUGGCUAACAUGGUGAAAUCCCGUCUCUACUAAAAAAAAAAAAAAAAACAGAAAAAUGAGCCAGGCGUGGUGGCGGGUGCCUGUAGUCCCAGCUACUCAGGAGGCUGAGGCAGGGAAUGGUGUCAACCCAGGAGGCAGAGCUUGCAGUGGCUCGAUCUUGGCUCACUGCAACCUCCACCUCCCAGGUUCAAGUGAUUCUCCUGUCCCUGCCUCCUGUGUAGCUGGGAUUACAGGUGUGCACCAUCACAUCUGGCUAAUUUUUGUAUUUUUAGUAGACACAGGGUCUCACCAUGUUGGCCAGGCUAGUCUCCAACUCCUGGCCGCAAGUAAUCUGCCCACUUCAGCCUCCCAAAGUGUUGGGAUUAUAGGCGUGAGCCACCGAGCCCAGCCAGUACACAGAAUACCAUUUUUUACUUAAGUAUAUUAAUCUAGAAGAGUUUUUUUAAAAUACAAUAUACCAUUUUUAUCUAUAACACUUAAAGACAAUCAAAGCCAAAUUAUGCUGUUUCAAGAUACCACAUACUUAGAAAAACAUCUAUAAAAAGCAAGAGAAACAUACAAAUCAGGCCCAUCUGGAGAGAAGGGAGUGAAGCAUUGCGCUGAUACGGGGAUAAAUAUGCUGGUUGGGUAGACAGGCAGUCCUUAUGCUUUUGGCUGACGUAGAUGUUACGUACUAUUUCACGUGUUAUCACACUCUCCAGUAAACACGUAACAUAAGAGAAUAAUUAACCACCAUCAAGCGUUCUCAUCUUGAGACAGGAAGAUGUAGAGGAAAGACCUUGAUGUGUGUGUCAGUUACAAGGAUGUACACCAGUGACUGACAUGACUUGGUGCAAAUCUUGGGUAGAGACCUAUACUUAAGCUCCUCACCCCCACCUGCCGAGGCGUAAGGGCUCAGAGGGGGUUCCAUGGGGUGGGCGGGAGUGGUAAGGGUCGAGGUGCAGCCACAGCCUGGCUCUGUGCACACCCUCUCCCUCCCUUCCCACCUCAUGUGCACACCCUCUCCUUCCCCCACCCCAUGUGCACACCCUCUCCCUCCCCCCACCUCAUGUGCACACCCUCUCCCUCCCCCCGCCUCUUGUGCACACCCCU